CCUCUCCUGAUGAUGUCAGGAGGAGGGGGCGUGACUUUCACUGCUCUUCUCCCAGGACCGCUGGGGAGUCUGGGAGAAGAGCAGAAGAAGUCACGCCCCCUCCUCCUGACAUCAUCCUUCCUGUAAGACUCAGGGAGGGGGGAAUACACUUUAGUUUUUUUUUUUUUUAU
Molecule: non-coding RNA, 170 nt
Organism: Pelobates cultripes (western spadefoot toad)
Lineage: Eukaryota; Metazoa; Chordata; Amphibia; Anura; Pelobatidae
Source: the annotation of a GenBank genome assembly